Molecule: ribosomal RNA, 288 nt
Filed under: Paenibacillus etheri
Lineage: Bacteria; Bacillati; Bacillota; Bacilli; Caryophanales; Paenibacillaceae
Description: partial 16S ribosomal RNA
Rfam family: Bacterial small subunit ribosomal RNA
Source: RNAcentral
UUGGAGAGUUUGAUCCUGGCUCAGGACGAACGCUGGCGGCGUGCCUAAUACAUGCAAGUCGAGCGGAGUUACUUUGAAAGCUUGCUUUCAAAGUAACUUAGCGGCGGACGGGUGAGUAACACGUAGGCAACCUGCCCCUUAGACUGGGAUAACUACCGGAAACGGUAGCUAAUACCGGAUAAUUUCUCUUUUCUCCUGAAGAAAGAAUGAAAGACGGAGCAAUCUGUCACUGAGGGAUGGGCCUGCGGCGCAUUAGCUAGUUGGUGGGGUAACGGCCCACCAAGGCGA